Long non-coding RNA from Lycium barbarum (goji berry), 528 nucleotides. RefSeq lists it as uncharacterized. The transcript is spliced from 2 exons. Lineage: Eukaryota; Viridiplantae; Streptophyta; Magnoliopsida; Solanales; Solanaceae. The record is from RefSeq and is a predicted model, not a curated record.
UACCUACUCCUAAUAGUCUACUACUUAUCAGCAUAACACAUACUAUAAUGUCUUCUUCAUGUUACAGAUACGUAGUUUAGUUACUUGUAUAUAUACAAGUGGUCACAGCUAAAAUAGAACAGAGAGAGAAAAAAACUUUUAAAAUAUGGCUACGGAACAACAAAAAAAGGAUUUGAACGAGAGGGCUAAGCAAGGAGAGACUGUGGUUCCCGGAGGAACUAGAGGUAAAAACGCUGAGUCCCAGCAACAUCUUGCCCAAGGAAGGAAGCAAGGAGGUGAGGCAAGGAAGGAUCAGGUGGGUAGUAAAGGACAUAAGGAGAUGGGAGGAGAGGGUGGCCUAUAAGGCGGAACAGAGCCUGAGGUGGAGCAGGGACUCGACGUGGACGAGUCUACUGGUUGAUUUGGACACAGCAAAGUUUAUAUUGUACUAGCACUUUAUGAAUUAGCUAAAUGUGAUAUUACUGUACAUAAAAUGUUCUUCCUUUUCUAAGUAAUAAUAAUUAAUGCAAUUCAUGUUGCAGCACAUAA